UUUUAUAAACAAACAUGUUCAUAUAUACAAUACCAAACUGUUUACAAAAAUAUUGGCUUAACAAAAAGGGAACUGUUCUAUAACCCACUAGUCAUACACGUUCACCAAUUCUGGUUUCUCCACCUUUCCAGACUCCGAGGCUUCAGGUCCUCCACGAUCACCAUCUAAGGACCUGAAAUGGUUAUCCCAUAAUGGGGUGAGACGACGUCUCAGGAAGUUCAACUCUUUAAGCCCCGACUAAGAAGAAAAUACGCCCUGAGGGCUGCCUAAGCACAAACACGAGUCAGAGGACUUACCUUAGCCUCGAUCUCUUCCUGCAAGUCAAGAUAAUUUAAACAUUCAUCGAAUCACAUUAACAAAUAAAACAAUCACACCAGAUCAACUCAUCAAUCAAUUGACCUAGUUGAUUUCAUGUCAUCAGGACCAUCACACGGUCAUUUCAAUUACCCACUCCAACUAUUAAUUACGGCCCAAUAGGCACGGCCUACUAAAUGUUCAACGGUGAAUUACGGCCUUAUGAGCACAGCUUGUCCAAGUUAGGCAGUAGAUUACGGCUCAACGAGCACAGCCAUACUUUGACCGUAAUCAACGAGCAUAGCCAUACUUUGGCAGUUGAUUACGGCUCAACGAGCACAGCCAUACUUUAGCGGUUUUCAUGAUCCAACUCAUAACAUCACGCACAACAUGCGUCAACUCAACUUUUGAUAGUCAUCUUCCUAUAAAUAUAAAUCAUCACACGAUUAAUCACCAACGGCCAAGAACGUGGUAUUCCACACUUAAAUUCCUCGAUUAACACAAUACCUUGGCCUAAUUUCCUCGUGUUAAAUAUACCCGAUAAAAAUAAUCGUGUGUAGGUACACAGUCGGUCUGAGCCAAAAAUAUAAUAUCUUUACUUUCAAAACUUCCACCAUUUAUAUAGUAGAUAAAAACAUUUUCGGCGCUAUAAACCAACGCCUAGUAAUUUCCUAAUUAAAUAUUGAAAAUAAUAAAUUUUGGGAUAAAUACCCUAAAAUUGCCAAUCACACUCAAUUUGCACAAAAUAACAGUUAAUUAAAUAAAUCGAAUACACUAUUGAAUUCAACAUAAAAUUCCGGUCACUAGUUAUCCCGGUCUAAUUUCCGGAAAAUAAAUAAUUAAUUAAAUAAUUACGAAAAUUAAUUAUUAAAUACCAAAAAUGCAUACUUAGGCCCGUAAUGCCUAAUUAAAUGCCAAUUUGGGUUCGGAAAAUUCCCAAACCUUACUAAAUAAAUACUACCACUUAUCUAGUUGCUAAUUACACUAAUCUAACCACCUAACAUGCAAUAACGAUUAAUUAAAUUGCUAAUUUAAUCUAACUAUCCACUUAAUCCAUACUUAGUCUAAACUAAUCAACCCUUAAACUUCAUUAACUUACUAAGAAAGGAUUAGUGAGUUAAACUCACUUGAUUAAUGAUCCGCUCAAAUCAAAACGACGGGGACGCGGUAAGGGUUGAGACACUCCAAAGCGGGACCACCAAACGAGGUCCGGAAGGCACCAAAAAUGGGCCAAAUAGUGGCUGGAAAACCCAAGCUAUUCGGUUCUAGUUGGGGCCGAGAAAGGGUUGACCGAUGGAUCGGCUAAGCUAGGAUCGACCAAGGAGGAGGCAGAUAGCUUGGUGGGGGUGAGUGGUGGUCGAACGGCAGUCCACAGCAAUUCAGGCGGCGAGAGUAGCUUGCAACUAGCUCGAGGGGCGUCCGGGGGUCAUGGUGGAGGCAAAAUGGCGGCCAAGCACACGCAGGGCUGGCGUGCGAGCGGGCAGACGAUGUAUGGGCUCCAAGCGCGAUGGUGGCGAUGCAGUGGCUCAAGUGGGUGGUUGGAUAGCUUGGAGCUGGCUGCUAGUUCUUCUCUGG
Molecule: long non-coding RNA, 1869 nt
Filed under: Eucalyptus grandis
Lineage: Eukaryota; Viridiplantae; Streptophyta; Magnoliopsida; Myrtales; Myrtaceae
Description: long non-coding RNA (EGRA_LNC002938)
Source: RNAcentral